UACGAGGCUGGUCUGGAGGAUUCCUUUUUCGGGGAGGAGGUGCAGGUUCCUCCCCUUAUCUACGGAGAACAAUGAUUUUCCUGACUGCAAGAAGGCACAAAUCCACAAACCAGCCUCGUAGAAACCCACCAACUUCCAGAAAGUUUCAACAACUCAUAAAGAUUCUCAUGUGCAUGAAAACCCAAUCAACCUUUUUAGGAAAGGGGCCCCCAGACAGAGGCUGAAACCCAGUCACCCCAUCCCAAGGACAAUUCCCCAGCCAGGCUGGACAGCGAGGCCCCCUGAGCAAGCCCAGCUUUGCUGCACUGGGACAGCCCACCUCUCCUCCUCUUCCUGGAGGAAUUCGCUUGUGCAUUUCCCUGAUGUUUGGUGGAACUGAUGUCAGAGCAUCCGCGAGACGUCGUGUUCCCUGGACUGCACACUAAGAAGAAAGAGAUUGUCAGCUAACUUCAUGGAGAUGCACUGAGAGCCAAGCCUGAAGCAGAGGAGCUGGGGGGAGAGACCUUUGACACCAUUAUGGUCCAUGCCAUUGUUGUCGUCAUCUCUACAAACUGGUUCCCUCUACCCUGAGCAGGAGCCGCCAAUACACGGGAUGGUUGGAGGCAGACACCUGGGUCUCCUCUGGUCAAGUCAGGAGCUCUCAGUGACUCAUCUGGAAAAUGGGGAUAACAUCAGGAUGAGCUAAUCAAGGCAAACGCCAGAAAGCCUGCUGCCCUUGCGUCUCUGUUUCCAAUAUAAUUUUUAUGGCCUCCAAGAUGGUGUCUCUUGUAAUCUUUCUCUGCAACAGGCUCACUUUUCUCCUCAAAUUCCUCCGUGUUUGGCUAAGAACAAUCUGUUUUUCCUGAAUUUGUCAAGUUUCUCGAAAUUCCUAAUGCUCAUUCAUGUUCUUUCCGAGGAUUAGCAGAACACCCCUUGCUCGUCUUUCAUCACACUCCCUCUGCACACGGGCAAAAAUUAUACUUAAGUAGAACCCUGGCGAUCCAUGCCCAUAAAAUGGAGACUUUGGCGAGACUCACUUGCAUGGGGCAGAGUGGGAAUGAGGCCGAAAGGCAGGCCUGAGCAUCUUUAAUGACGUGCAGAAAGAGAGAGGCCUCUGCCCGCACAGGCAGAUGUGCACAGCUGUUAAUGGAAUAGCCCCUAAAAUUCCGACCAGCGCAGAGUAACGGAUACCCUCAAAUGCUUCCUAGUGGAGUUAAGAAUUUUUUGUUGAUCGUGCCUUUGAACUAAGGUCAUUUAAGUAUACAACAGAUGUUCCUCUGAGGGGAACAGACUUAUAAAGUCAGGAACACAGAAGGGACCUCAUGGUUUACUGGGGGUGGCGCACCAAGUUCAUAGCAGUUUAACUCCUUUCAAUGUUAAACAAAACAAUGACGCAAUUUUAUGCACAAUAAAAACCUGUCAAAAC
RNAcentral lists this long non-coding RNA (1405 nucleotides) under Equus caballus (horse). Its description in RNAcentral is "lncRNA (ENSECAG00000053451.1)". The record is from RNAcentral. Lineage: Eukaryota; Metazoa; Chordata; Mammalia; Perissodactyla; Equidae.